ACGGGCGUAGCUCAACGGAAGAGCAGUAGUCUCCAAAACUACGUGUUGGGGGUUCGAAUCCCUCCGCCCCGA
RNAcentral lists this transfer RNA (72 nucleotides) under Kouleothrix aurantiaca. It matches the Rfam family "tRNA". From Rfam's summary of the family: Transfer RNA (tRNA) molecules are approximately 80 nucleotides in length. The record is from Rfam by way of RNAcentral. Lineage: Bacteria; Bacillati; Chloroflexota; Chloroflexia; Chloroflexales; Roseiflexaceae.